GAUGAACGCUGGCGGCGUGCUUAACACAUGCAAGUCGAACGGAAAGGCCCAAGCUUGCUUGGGUACUCGAGUGGCGAACGGGUGAGUAACACGUGGGUGAUCUGCCCUGCACUUCGGGAUAAGCCUGGGAAACGAUGGCUAAUACCGCAUAGGUCUUUGAGUCACCUGGCUUAAAGAGGAAAGACGGCUUCGGCUGUCACUGAAGGAUGGUCCCGCGGUGCAUUAGCUAGUUGGUAAGGUAAUGGCUUACCAAGGCAAUGAUGCAUAGCCGACCUGAGAGGGUGAUCGGCCACAUUGGGACUGAGACACGGCCCAA
RNAcentral lists this ribosomal RNA (316 nucleotides) under uncultured bacterium. RNAcentral's name for it is "bacterial SSU rRNA". It matches the Rfam family "Bacterial small subunit ribosomal RNA", at positions 28 to 334 of the family's 1533-position model. The record is from RNAcentral.